Molecule: long non-coding RNA, 15047 nt
Filed under: Lynx pardinus (Iberian lynx)
Lineage: Eukaryota; Metazoa; Chordata; Mammalia; Carnivora; Felidae
Source: RNAcentral
AGUUUCCAGGCCUCUCUCUGCCACAAUCCCUUCUCUGAUUCGCCUCCAGUGAUGCCCUCUCUACUCUGCCCAUUCGUCGUCCAUCAGCACCCUUCCUUUCCCACCCCAAGGUGCUGAGAACCUCCAGGGUAAGUGCCUCCCCUAUCUCUCAUCCUAUCUCUUUCCCUCUAGCCACUGGCCUUGGGAUGGGAGUGGGGGGAAGGGGGGAUUAGAAGCAGGAAAUCUCUUGGAUGGGGUAUCAUGUAGCUAGUUGAAUCUUGCCCCCAGGGUUUCCAAAUGUAGGACAAGAGGUAGCUGCCUGGAGUGGUAAGAAGGAGAUUUAGGGAUGUUAGCACUUGCCACCUAAUUGUCAAGGUGGGCUGUUCACAGACAUGUGUUCUUCCCUUGAGUUGUGGACAACAGGGAGAAAAUGUAAACGAAUAGGGAGAAAAUGCACUAUCUCAGCAGCUGGCUUCAGAAUUUCUCCUAUCUUGAUGAACCAGCCUGAUGUGAAGAGUUGAGCAGGAAGGUUAGGCCCCAGGAAAGUUAUGGAAGGAAAAAAUAGAACGAAGAGAGGGCUAUACAAAACAAUGAAACUGUAAUACUUUUUGCUAGUGAGGAUGGGGAUAGAGUGUUGAGCUACCAGGUAGUAGAUCUCAGUUGAUGGAAAAAAUGUUUAUGUCAUAUCAUUUUUAACUGUUUUAUUUGUUUGCACUGGUAUGAUGUAAACUCCUCUAUUUAAGUAAAGGGCAUAAAGUACAUAUGAAUUACAAUAAAGUACAUGUAAAGCCUCUGUGUGUGUGUGUGUGUGUGUGUGUGUGUGUGUAUGAAAAUCGAGGGAUCCUUCUGGAUUUUCUACAUUCAGGUCCACGUGUUAGAGAAAGCCCACAGCAGACAAUGAGAUGAUACACAUAUUGAAACACAGAGUCAAUAUGUCAAUGGGAGGAACUGGAAUUUGAUCAGCAAUAUCGAAAGGCAUACCUUCCUUAUGCAUCCAGAAUCCAAGAAGCAGAAGGUUUGCGAGCUCCUUCAGGUGGCAAUGAAAAGCAAUUCAUUUAAUGCUCAAAAGACAGAUUUUGUUUUUCUCUGAUGCCUUGGUUAAAUGAAGAGCACAUUUAGUAAAGUAGGGAGACAGGGCUGGGCAGCCAUUUACCUGGGUCUAGCAGUAUUACCUGGGAAAAGACACAAAUGGAAAGAAAAUGUAAACUUCUAUCAGCACUUUGACCCUACUGAAAGAGAUUGCCUUCUUUCACAAAAAUAUAUGGAUCAAAGGUAUAUGGAAUCAUCCAAAAAUGUUGUCAUGAACUUAAAUUUGACAAAAGCCAUACAACAUAUGAAUCCAACCUCUGGAACCAGUUACCUGGACUUGAACCCCCUUUACUUGUAAGUGACCUUAUGCAAAUUUCUUAACCUCCUUACGCCUCAGUUUCCUCUUCUCUAAACUGAGGCUAGUCAUAGCCCCUAGCUCAUAAGGUCCUUGAGAAGAUGAAGUGAGUUUGGGUGCAGAAAGCACUUAGAAUAUUUCUGGCACAUUCAAAACGUGCCAGAAUAAUAAUUCAGAAGUGAACUAGAAAAUUCAUGUACAUAUUUCAAUCCUCCCAACAAUUAAUUUUCAUAACAAAGGGACAAUAUCUUCUCAGCUGAAGACAUGAGACCAAGGAAAACAAGUAAAUUUUCUAAGGUCACACAACUGGUUAGAAGCAGAUGCCUUUGUGGGUCACUCAUUUCGUAAAUUUAUACAGCAAAAAUUGUAACUAUUGAUUACAGCUCACACAGGGAAUAGCGCAAUAUCUUAUAUGGCACUUAACUAGAAAUGGAAAUCCAAACAGGAAAUAGCUAUGUUACGUGCACUAGCUUAGACACACAGCACUUUAAAUGGGAAAGUGUGAAAUAUAGUGAAAGCCUUACAGUUAAUCUCUGAGCGGAAACCACACAGGAUAAGCAGUGUGGCUGAGCUAGCAGGGUCAGCAGAAGUCUAUAUUCUCAAUUUCUGGUCUUCAGUUGCUUGAAUUUUUUAAAACAAUAGUGAGAGUAUAAUUAGCAAAUAUUUCACAUGCUGAAUACAUUUGUAUUAGCUGAAAGAAAAGUAAUUUUUCUCCUUAAAGUUAUGCCUAUAGUAAAAGUUCCUUUUCCUCUUGGUAAGCAAUUUGGGCAAGCCUGGCUUACUGGCAGCUUUCACAUCCCCCUCGUGACUUACAGCCUGAUAUUGAUCUGGGUUCUGGGGGUGGCUGGGAGGCAGGACAGAAUCCUUCUUCAUGGAGCACCUCCUACUGCCAGUGUCAACCUGACACCUGGCAGCCACCGUCCCUUCCCAUCCCGCCUCCCAUCUUCGGAGGGUGGUGCUCUCAUCUUCUUUUUAGAGGUGAGGAAACCGAGGCACAGAAAGGUUAGGCAACUGACUCAUUUUCUCGCAGCUACUAAGUGGGGACACCAGGCUUCAAACCAAGGAUGGACCCCACAGUCCAUACUUCUGUGAUUCAUAAUUUGCCCCUGUUAGUUAAAGACGGAUCCACAUGAAAUUAAAUUCCAGGCCAGGCUGCUUUUGUAAAACUCAACUGAUGCAUGUACAUGUGUGUAAAAAAAUGGAAGUUCAGGUACUUUCAAGUAAUUUCUGGAUGGACAAACAGAACACGGAGAGCCCUUAGAUCUGAACGAACAGCUGACGAAGGCCUACGAUUAGGUCAGAUUGUUUCUCACGUGUUUACUCAACAAUCUUUGACUCUUUUCAAAGAAAUUCACAGGCUCUAAUCUCUUAAACCAGUGGUUCUCUUACUUUUCACACGUGAAAAGGCAUGGCACGUGAACAUUUCAACGCAUCUCCAAAGGAACAAUUCUGCAUGUUCCUCUCUUUUUUAUCCUUUCUUUUUUUCUGUGCUGCUCCUUUCUGUGCUCCGUUUCCAUCAAUAGAACUAGUUUACUCAAAGUUGCCCAGACUCAGGGCCUCAGGGCCAUUACAGUGCCAGCCUCAUGCUCUAUGAUUUCUCUCAGACCUGUCUCUCUUCUCCAUCCGUAGUGACUUCCGAACUAUCAUCUGUCAAUUUGGUUCCCUGCCUCUUUUCUCUUUUUCCUAUAAUCUUUUAUUUUCACUUCUGCCAGAUGAGUCUCCCCAAAUACAGUUUAUUUUUAUUUUUAUUUUUUCCAAAUACAGUUUAAAUACUAUCAUUUUAUUGUAACAGAACCUUAAAAAACUACCACUCCUCACUUGAGCCCCUAAUAAACCUUGUUGUUCAAUCCCGGCAAGCUUUGUACUACCUGUACCCGAUGCCCCAGCCAAAAUGUCACUGAGGACUGUGUUUCUCUUUACUCAUCCAUUCUGUAUUUGAUUAAAAUACUACCCUGCUCAUCCUUCUCCAAAAACUUGUCUCCUGAUUCUCAAUCAAAUGGAAUCGUUCUUCCUUUGGACCCUCUGUCAUAAAAUGAGCAGAAAUCGCUGUGUUGUGUUGUGAUUUCUAUUAUUAUCUCCAGUUCUGUGGUCUUUUGUCCCUCCCCUCCCCCACUCCCAUCUCCCAGUAAAUUAUCAUUUCCUUGGCGGUUGAGAUUUUGCAUCCCCUAUAGUUCCAGUAGGGUCUUUCCCAUGCAGUGGUAAUUGUAAUCGUGAUGUUGUUGUUGCUAAUGAAGGAGGAGGAGGAGGAGACGUUGCAGGAAAAGAUGGUUAGAGAGCUCAUUUGCUUCUUUAAUCACCCUGGUUGAACAGCUCUAACUGUUGAAAAGUCUUUUCCCAUAUUCAUCUGAAACCUGCCCCACUGAAAUUUGCCCCCAUAAAUAUUUAUUGAGUGACUACUAGGUGCAAAUUGCACCAUUUUAGGCACAAAUCACUCUCACUGAUUCCAAUACAGCCUGUAUGCGCACCUUCCCAUGAAGGGACCUUCUUCUCACACAUAAAGGAGGAAAAAUGCUGUUCCUAAGUCCACACUCUCAGCAGCUUCUCCAAGCUUCUCUCACUUCUACCCUGAGCUCUGCUUUCCAAGUCAUUUCUUGAAAGUAUCUCUCUACACUCAUUUCUGAGCUAUAACAUUGUAAUGGGGGUGCAUAGAGGGUUGCUGAGAGAUUUAUUGGAUUUUUUAUCAUAAUGCAUAGCAAAUUCCUGGGAGUCAGAGGUAGAAAGGCUUGUUUCGUUUACACAGAAAAAUGUAUCAGCCUCAUGGUUAAAUCUUAAAAUAUUUGAAGAUCACACCCUGUAUCCCAUAAAUCUUAUUUGGAAAGAUUUAUUUACUUUGGAAGCAAGAAGUGGAGAGCUAGGUAAAGGUUCGUAGUUAAAAUGUCAGGAGAUGGGCUUAAAAGGGGUAUAUUUAGAAAGAACACUCAUUUAUGUGGGAUCAAGUAGAUAAAUGACAGUCCAUCAUUACAGCAAUGGGGAAAGUGUUAUGAGUCGGAGUCCCUGAUGAAAUCAGACUUUGGUGGUACUCUUGCAUAGCUGGUGGAGAAACAGACCAAACUUUGGUCUCAUAGGUUAAUUGUGUGAAUCUGAUAUUACUACAGGUAGCGGCUUGCCGUGCAUGAUCUAUUUUGACACUGGGACCAGCCAAAGCCACUGAUGUCUUCCCAUCACUGACGUCUGUUACCCUCAUUGUCUCUCUCACAGAACAUGCAAUGACCUCCCAACCAGGGUCCUUAUCUCCAACUGCUCCUCUCACCAAACCGUCCCAUCUGACCCAGUGAGGCUAAUCUUGCUAAAAUGCAGCUCUAAUCAUGUUCCUGGCCCAGCUAUUCUGUUUCUUAAAUUGUCAACCUUAAACUUCAAUGUCCCCUCCCACCUUGUCCCUGGAGGUGACCCUAAGCUCCAGAUAGGGUUGACCACCCCUAAUUUUAUCUGUUAUUUCUAAUAUAGAUUUCAGUCCUAGUACCUAUAACAUUUUAUUUCUUUACAUCUCUCUCUUACUUCUAAGACUAUAGUUUUGCAUUUGUAUUCCCAACAUGUACCGCAGUGCCUAGCAUCCAAUGAAUGCCUAAUACCUUGUCUUAGGAACGAAUAUAGGAGAAAAUCUAGUCUCCCUGGUAUAGCACUAUAAGCAUUCCAUAAUCUUGGCUUGCCCUGUCUGUUCAGUAUGCCUCCUAAUGGCUGCUGUUCCUUUGCAAAAUACAAAGCAAACCUUUCCCUUAACAAGGCUUGAAUCUUCCCACUCUGAUGGGGAAAUUCUCUGUCCAGUCUGUUGCUUUCAGCUGGAUGGCUCUUCUUAAUUUCUCUGCUUGUUGAAACACUAUUCAUUUUCCAAGAGACGGUCCAGAUGUCCCUUCUUUAUGAAGCCUCCCCGUGCUCUGAUUGAUCUGUCACCUGGUUCAUCUGUCUUUGGCAGCAUUGAUCAGACACUUAUUUCAUGACCUCAUUCCCUUCCAUGUUCACCACCGCCUUUCGAGUUGGCAAUGGGCCACACUGGUGCUAAGAAAAUUGUGUGGAGUGGAAAUAAUAUGACUACAUGUCUUAAUACAAUAAGACUCUGCUGACUUUGCUGAGCACACAGCCCUGUCCCACAUGCCUGGAUCUUGCUACUGAAAAAGUGCUAGAAAAUGGCACUGAUGGCAUAAUUAGCACAUGAUCAGGUCAAAGUCUUUUCCUCUCCUAAUUUUCUCUGGAGGAGUAGUGAGCUGGGCUGAAGAGCCUAGAGUUUCCCAACCUGUGUCCCCACAGUGAUGUAUGGAGAGAGGGAUUCCUCUCACCCCUCAGAGUAUCUGGGCCGGGCUCAAAACACCCAAGCCCCUAGGCCUCUGGGUGUUAACCCAGUGUGGUUCAUGGACACUGCGUGUGUGUCCUGUUAUGAAAAAAGUUGGGAAGCACUGGCCGUACUUAGUCAAAUAGGGCAAGACCAUGAACAUGUGGGCACACACACACUACAAUGGGAAAUAUCUCCAUUUGGAUUUGGUGUCACCAAAUCCUGUAGGCACAGCAGGAAAAACCAGGAGGCUGGAGUCAGGAGCUGUAUUCCAAACCCAUCCGUUAUGUAGGUGUGACUUUGAGCAAAUCAUCUAAACUUUCUAGACUUCUCUUUCCUCGAGGAUUUUUUUCUUCACAGAUUUUUCUUUCUUUUUAAGCUGGCUUCCAUUGGGGUUAGGGAAAAGCCAUGGACUAAGCGAUGUCCACAUUCUCUUUCAAUGCUCAUGUCCUUGGAAUCUUUGAAAACCUGUUUCUUAUCAUUGUUGAAAGUAAAAUAAAUAACCUUUAGGCCACAACUAUUUCAUUCUUAGAACAGAUUGUUUUUCUGGUCUGGUCACUUGAUCGUUUGGUUUUCUGAGAAUGUAGAGCCUCUGGGUGAGGUAAAAGCUUUCAUGAUAUGGGUGUUAAAUCUAUCCAGGUGAAGGCAAAAGCUAUGGCCCCUCCUGGAAAAGGAAUGUGAACAUCUUUGGGGGGACAUCAAAUACCAUAGAUAUCAUUUUCAGGUGGCUUCAUUCUCCCCCUCCCAAUUAAAUAUGACAUGACUGUGAACUAACUUUAGAAAACUACAAUCCGUAGGUUUGUGUUAUUCAUUUAUUACUUCAACUGCUUAUAGUAACCAUACCACUGUUUGCCCUAAAACAGUCCAGGUUAGAUGACUUUUUGUGCAUCAGGUGAUCUCUACUAAUUAUUUUCCACACUCCCUUUCACUCUGCAUACUGAGUGCCUACUGCACCUUCUCUCUGCCAGCAGUCUGCCCCUUCCGGGCUGGGUUGGUAUAGAUUCACAGGUGACUCAGCUCAUUCAGAGAACUGGGUCAAAACAAUGUCCUGAAAUCUCUGUUUCUGAACCUGAUCAAAUGAAGGCGGUUAGUAGUAAACAAAGGAUGGUGGACUGUGGUUGAAUUGCAGAAUUUGAAAUCAAACCCCCUAGCCGAGAGCCCUGAUUCCACGUUGGAUAUGAAUUUUUAGAAGACUCUGAAUUCACGCUUUCUUCUCUGUGUUUGUGUAACUGUGGCUUAUAAAAGUUUGAUUUUUCACAUCAGGAAUUUUGUCGUUGGUGUGGCCCCUCACCACAUCUUGACAACAGAAGCCUCUUGCUGUGUCUGAAACCAGCCCUUGAGGCAAGAAUUCACUUGGUGAAUGAACGCACCUUUGAGGUGCAAGGCAUCUCCUUCACCAUUCACAGGCACGAUUUAUUCACUUGUUUCCACACACUGGCUUCUGUCUUCAUCCACGGAGCUAGAAAACAGGGUCUUGUUUAUAUAAAGGUGUUGUAAAAUGAAUCCAUCCCCACAAGGCCCCUUGGCCACAGGAAGGACUCCCAGACGUGCUCUGCACUGUAUAAACACACACUUUUCAUCUAUCCCUGGCACACCUUCUCCAUUUAUAGCCUGUGGAUUCCCUUCCCUGAUUCUGACCUAGUAAUGCUUCCUUCUUUACUUUAAAGUGUGAAUGGGUUUCUGGGCUCUUCUUUCUAUUAAUGCUUUACCAUGCCAGAGCAUGGUAAGGUCUUGUUUCAACACAGCCUUGUCUAAAGCCCUCGCUGACCCCAUCCCCCUACUGUGGAAAUAAGUUCUUCCUCAUCUCCUAUGACAUUUCUCCGUAACCUUUCUUCUUGCAUUUAUCACUUCUUAAAGUGAUCAAAGAUCUUCAUCUCCCCACCAGGGCUGGGACUGUGUAAGACAAGGGACUUGUGUCAGAUGUCAAAUUUAGGGGAAGGAGCCAAACCCCAGUGAAAGUAAAUCAUGUUGUUAAGGUGACAUUAAAAAAAAAAAAAAAAAAAGAAUUAGUGAAAAAAAUCCAUGAUUUUUCCAUUAACAAAAUAUCAACAUUUUCAAGAAAGAUGGGAUCAGUCUUUUUCCUUUUAUUCGCCCUUUUCCUUUCAGAUUUUUUUCUUUUGCCAGAGGGUCUGCUAUGGCCAAGCACUGUUCAUUGAUUCGGUGGUUAUUGGAAAUUUUGAUAUUUUGUUCAUCAUAGAUUUUUGCAUUCAUUUUGAGUUUUUAAAAUAUAUUGCAUUAAGGUGUUAUUUGUCUUGAUUCCUACGUUUUUGGCAUCCCCUUAAAUGUUGUGCUUCUGGCCACUGCCUCCCUUGCCUGACCCUGACCCUGGCUCUGAUCACCAUAGCAACCGGCACAGGCCUUUGCCCUCCGAUACACACUCAAUUAAUAUUUCAUGAAUGGGGGCGCCUGGGUGGCGCAGUCGGUUAAGCGUCCGACUUCAGCCAGGUCACGAUCUCGCGGUCCGGGAGUUCGAGCCCCGCGUCGGGCUCUGGGCUGAUAGCUCAGAGCCUGGAGCCUAUUUCCGAUUCUGUGUCUCCCUCUCUCUCUGCCCCUCCCCCGUUCAUGCUCUGUCUCUCUCUGUCCCAAAAAUAAAUAAACGUUGAAAAAAAAAAUAUUUCAUGAAUGAAUGAAUGAAUGAAUGAAUACUAGCAGAGAUAUCUUAGAUGCUCUUUUCUUUUCUUUUUCCUGAAGGUAAAAUGACACCUGACCCACAAUUUAGUAUCUACCAUGACAUCUACGUGGGGAAAUUAUAGUGGCCUGGAGUGACUGUCUGUAGUAGCCGUCAGCAUUGCUCCCGCUAAUUAAAAUCAUUGAUCCUGGACCCUUUCACUGUCACAGAGCACCUCCUCCAGUUUUGCUUUAUUUCAUAAAUAUAAGUGCUUCUCAAGAAGCUAAAUAGUCACAGGGCUACCAACUUAUCUUUCACCUUCUUCUAGUGAACUGCGAGCCACUGACAAUAAGAAUUACUUCUUUGGAAGUCCAGAAUAUUGGGAGCAGAGGUUCUGUAGAUGGGUGCAGUGAAGGAGUCUCAAUGCCUCCAGGAGGAGGAAGAUGGCAGAGGGCUGGAAGACCAAACAUCAGGGAGUCUGCUCCUCCGACGAUACUACCCAGUACGCAGUGGCCCAGAAAGUGAAGUUUUCCUUCAUUACAAUAUCACAGACACAUAGGAGAGGUUCCCCUUUCUGGGGGGGAGAAAGACACAGAUCCUGUAGGUGUUGAGUCUGAGUCUCACAUAGGUUUCGAAGAGUAUGGUUGACUCCUCACUAUAUUCAUCAACAUUGAUCUUUUUUUUUUUUUUUUAAUUUUUUUUUUUCAACGUUUAUUUAUUUUGGGGACAGAGAGAGACAGAGCAUGAACGGGGGAGGGGCAGAGAGAGGGAGACACAGAAUGGGAAACAGGCUCCAGGCUCUGAGCCAUCAGCCCAGAGCCCGACGCGGGGCUCGAACUCCCGGACCGCGAGAUCGUGACCUGGCUGAAGUCGGACGCUUAACCGACUGCGCCACCCAGGCGCCCCAACAUUGAUCUUUAAAAGACAAAAUGAUCAUUCACAAAUCUUCUCACAAAAUCAUCUCUAGGAAGUUGAGCCUGUCAUAACAAAAUUAUUUCUAUGUCCUGGUAGACCGCCCAUGAAAAUAAUGUUUUUGAUUUAGUUACAGGAAUUCUAUUCGGCAAACAGUGCUGUUAAAGUGUUUUCCCUGGGUUCUGUCCACACAAUAGUCGCUGUCCCUGGGAGGGUGGAUUUUAUUCUGUAAUAGUUACGAUGAUUUACACUUUUGUCCAGUUAUCAAAUGAUCGUUGACCUCUAUUAUCCUCACUCCUCUAACCCUAUGCAGUCCAACUGUAAAAACAUUAAAUUAACUUUAAAAAAAAAAGAAAAAAGAAUAACCUAUCCCCCCCCCCCCAUCCCCAAUCCAGGAAGAAAGAAAGAAAUCCAGAAAUAAGAAAAUGAUUCUUAGAGAAUGCUUUUUUUGUUUCCCUGGACGUCUUCAAAUCAUUUAUUUUUCCACUUCGUUUUUUGGCUGUUCCAUGUGGACCGCCUGGAACUUCACUUCCGCUAUACCUCUGGAAGUUUGGGGAUCUGAGACCCGGCGAUGUGUUCCCUUUAACAACGCAUCUUACUGGAAGAGUGUUCAGACGCUUCCCGGAGUAUGGAGUGAGCGUCAGGAACACGCUGGGGUUCAAGUUCACGUUUCCUGAGGGCCUCGUGUGGGGCAGCCACCAUGCUUAGCAGCUUUCCCAGGUUGAUUUAUCUGAUACUUUGAAGAGUCUAGAGGGAGAACAGGUACGGCCAGGCUCAUGCUAAAGAAAUAAAAACCAAGGCUGUAGCAGGUCGUUAUGUGCCCAAGGCUACAAGACUAGUGAGGGGCGAGGCUGAGGCUUGGCCCAGGUCCCCUGCUUGUCAUAUUACAUACAAUUGCCUGGUUAUUGUCACAGAAGGGAAACACCACACUGCUUCUUCUCCAAGAGAUGCAGAGAAUAUGUUUAUCCAACCCAGUAUGUCAUGUGGUUUCCAUGGGGAAAAGAAAUAAUCCUAAGAGGCUUCAGACAUUAUUUUCACCUAUCUGAAGGGACAAGCACUACCUGUUCAGCUCUCUAGACCCUGUGUAUACCUUCCCUGGGAUUCCAUAUUUUAUCAGAGCAACUUCUCCCUUUUCAAAAAGUCACCGUAACUUCCAAAGAGGCUUACAAGUAAGAGUUUCUAGAUCACCUUGGAAGACUUUUGAGGGUAUAUGCGGACAUAUGUGUGUGUGUGCUGGGGGUGAGGGAAGAAUGUGUGGAACAUAAAUUGAAUGAUGCUGGGGCGCCUGGGUGGCGCAGUCGGUUAAGCGUCCGACUUCAGCCAGGUCACGAUCUCGCGGUCCGUGAGUUCGAGCCCCGCGUCAGGCUCUGGGCUGAUGGCUCGGAGCCUGGAGCCUGUUUCCGAUUCUGUGUCUCCCUCUCUCUCUGCCCCUCCCCCAUUCAUGCUCUGUCUCUCUCUGUCCCAAAAUAAAUAAAAAACGCUGAAAAAAAAAAUUAAAAAAAAAUAAAUAAAUAAAUUGAAUGAUGCUGAAAAAUAUAUCCUGAUUUCUCAGGAUCAUAUUUUUAAAAUGUUUUUAAUGUUUAUUUAUUUUUGAGAGAGAGAGAGAGAGAGAGAGGAGAGAGGAAGCAGGGGAGGGGCAGAGAGAGAGGGAGACACAGAAUCCAAAGUAGGCUCCAGGCUCCGAGCUGUCAGCACAGAUCCCAACGUGGGGUUCAAACUCACAUACCGUGAGAUCAUGACUCGAGCCGAAGCCGGAUGUUUAACUGACUGAGCCCCAGGACCAUAUUUUUAAUAAACAAUCAAUCAAGUAUUCAUGGCUACAACUAUAAUGGAUAAAACAACUGAAGUUAAAAACAGUCUAGGAGAAGUAAGACAGAAUAGCAUGGCACAGUGGUCAAAUGUGUUGGCUCUUCAGGUUGCUCGAUGUAUUCCAGUUCUGCUACUUACUGGUUAUGUGACAUUAACUGUUACUUAAAAACGAACAGUGGGGCACCUGGGUGGCUCAGUCUGUUAAGCGUUUGGACUUUGGCUCAGGUCAUGAUCUCAUGGUUCAUGGGUUCCAGCCCCGCGUUGGGCUCUGUGCUGACAGCUCAGAGCCUGGAGCCUGCUUAGGAUUUGGUGUUUCCCUGUCUCUCUGCCCCUCCCCUAUUUGCACUCUGUGUCUGUCUCUGUCUCUCUGAAAAAUGAACAAACAUUAAAACAAUGUUUUAAAAGACUGGAAUUAAAAACACAGUUUAAAAAAGUAACCAACCAACCGACAAGCAAACCCUGUGUGUUCAGUGUUCCUACCUAUACAAUGAGCGUAAUAACAGUAAGUAUGCAUAAGGAUGUUGAGAAGAAUAAGUGAGAAAGUGCAUAUAAGAUGUCUGACACUUUGUAAAAGUGUGCUAUUAUCAAGAGGAGAUAUAUAUAUAUACACGUAUAUAUAUAUGUAGAUAGAUAUAUAGAUAUAUAUAUACAUAUAUAUACGUAUACGUGUAUAUAUAUACAUAUAUAUGUAUAUAUAUGUAUAUAUAUGUGUAUAUAUGUAUAUACACGUAUAUACGUGUGUAUAUAUAUACACGUAUACAUAUAUAUAUGUAGAUAUAUAUAUAUAUAUAUAUGGCAUUUUGUUAGCCCCUUGUUGUAGAAUAAUCUAUUUCUCAGAUUUAAGACACUGGGAAAGUGUUAAUCACGGCAGAAAUUGUCAUCAGACUUAGAGAUAGAGCAGGCGAUUUUAUUAGUGGAAGUCAAUAUGACUCCAGUAACUCAGGAGCACACGGCCUACAAAGCAUGGGGAAGAGGACGUCCAGCCAAUAAACAGUAAUAAUUGCAACAUUGUUGGCAGCUGAGCCGCCGGAGCACCUAAUCGCCUUCAACAACGAAUUGGCGACUAACUGCCCAGUGGUGGCGGGUCGGCACUAACCAUACGAGAGGCACCAGCACAACCAGAAAACGCCCAGCAGAUGCCCCUUGCAGGAAAUGUAAUUAAAGUGGAAAGGACUAUACCAACAUUCCCACUGGGCUCUUGACUCAAACUGGAGAGGCAGAGCAGUGUGUGAAUUCUCCAGACCGGGAGGCUGGCGUGGAAACAGCUGACGCUGUGGGCCUCCUCGGAUCCUGCCGAGGGCCCUGUAGCUCUGUCAGCCCCCGAGUCACAGAGCACUUGCAGAUCAGCCCAAUUCUGGGUCAUGAAACAGGUGGGGAGCCGCAGAGCUCUGGGUCGUUUAAAGGAAAUGAAAGAUCACACACCUUCUGUAAUGAAACACCCUUCUAUCUCCUCAUGGCCACUAUUAUUUAGUCACUGAUAAUACAGCAAACUCUUCAGAAAUAAUUCAAGCAGAUAAGAAAUCAAGCCCCACCCUUUUAUGUUCUGAGGCCUUAGCAGUGGCUCCAACUCUUGGAAGGGGAAUGAAAUCUAUUACACAUCCUCAGCCCAUGAUUUUUUCCUACAAAUGCAUGAGACCCUAAACUUGGGAAGGUGGUAGGCAGUUCCACAGGGAGACAGUGUAAUGGGUGCCCGCCCUGGAGGAGCAGCUUCGGGUUUCAGAUGUGGUCUCCACGGCACUGGGCAAAUUGCUUCAUUCUCGGUUUUCUCGUUCAGAAAACUGAGGCUUAACAGCAUCUACCUCUUACAGUCCUUGUGCCUGGAACACUGUAGGCACUAAAUGAUUGUCAGCUAUAACGCCCAGUUUUUCAAGUAGUUAACGAUGGCUUCACUUACUGACAGGCUGACGAAUAAAUUUUUUGAAAAAAAAAACCAAACACAUACCAAUAAAAUGUGCAUUUCUCAUAACUAAACUAUCUAAUAGGAUAUAUACCCAGAGUGGGAUUGAUGGAUCAUAUGGUGGUUCUGCUUUUGAUGUUUUGAGAAAUGUCCAUACUGUUUUCCGUAGUGGCUGCACCAUUUUACAUUCCCACCAACAGUCCCAUUUUCUCCACAUCCUUGCCAAAACUUAUCUUGUUUUUUUUUUUUUUUUACAGUAGCCACGCAAACUAGUAUAAGGUGAUAUAUAUCAUUGUGGUUUGGUUUUGCUUUUUGUAUAUUAAUUAUAUUUCAAUAAAGUUGUUAAAAAAUAUCUUACAUUGUCCCUUAGACAUAAUAGGUUGCUAUUGACCCUUUGAUUGCUGUGUGAAAAGAUAACAUGUCUCUGAGUAAUUUCGACAGUCGACAUGUUGAAAGGAUCACAAAUAUCUACCUUUGGCAAGUACUUACAGGGAUCAUUCUAAAUACAUAUACCAGGGGUGCCUGGAUCGCUCAAUUGGUUGAGCAAUCGACUACAGCUCAGGUCAUGAUCUCAUGGUUCAUGAGUUCAAGCCCACAUUGGGCUCUGUGCUGACAGCUCGAUCCUGGAGCCUGCUUCGGAUUCUGUGUCUCCCUCUCUCUCUGUUCCUCUCCCGCUCAUGCUCUGUCUCUCUGUCUCUCAAAAAUAAACAUUAAAAAAAUAAAUAAAUACAUAUACCCACCAGAUGCUAUGAAUAGAGAGAGAUGGAACAUAGGUGGGACAUAGUCCCUCCUUCAUGGAACUUAAGUUAUGGUUAGACAGGCGGCGACAACAAAGCCUGAGAAGUGUUAACAUCAGAAACUCAGAGUGUGAGGGUGUCAUGUCCUGGAAGGAGAAAGAGAAAGCUUCCCUAAAUGCAGUGAAGUUUACACUGAAAACUGAAGGAUUCAAGGGUUAACUACACCUGAGAAGGCGCUCCAGGUGAGUGGGAGCAUCAGGUUCCAAGAUCUAGAAGGAAAAGGAGGCUGGAGCUGAGAGGAGCCGUCUCCUCCUGCCUGUAGCUACAGGAGAUGGCAAGGUGGACGGUGGCCAGAUUCUGGUGUAGGCUUGGAGGAACCUCAGAAGGUGAGGCUUGAUCCAGAGAAUGAUGGGGAAAUCACUGACAGGUUUCAAGUAGGGAAGUGAAAUGGUCUGAUCUGAGAUUAGGAAGCAUCAUUCUGGCUGUUCAGUGAGGCAAGAGGGAAUGUGGGGAUCCCGGUAGGAGGCAUAAAUGCCUCAUCUUUGAUGAUUCUGGCCCAGACUUGGGCAGUUUGGAAGCAAAGUAAUGGAUAGAUUGGAGACGAAUUUAUAUAUUUGGCUUCAAACUAAAGCUACUACCCACUCCCCGACACUGCCCAGAUAGGGAUGGGAUAUGUAGAAACCUUAACUUUUAGGCUGCCCUCUGCAAACAAUACCCAGAACAUAUUUAGAUUAGAAAAAAGAAGGGAACUGAUAUCCAAAGUGGAGCUAGGGGGUUGCCCAUGCCAAUUAUCUGAUAAUCUGCUUGACCCAUUGCUUCAGCUAACGAAGGGCUGUUUGCCCUCCUUCCACCCCAAUUAUGCUUAUCAUCAUGCUUACCAUCGCAGGGCCCCAGAGAAGCCAGAAAGAACUCAACACCAGUCCCUCUAGCCAAACAAUCAGCAAACGAAGAUAACUUUAAAGAGUGUCAAGCCCAACUUUAUGACUCCCUCAUAGGCACCAAGGGCAUUGUCUCAAGAGCCUAAGCCACCAGACAGGAUAACCCAGGACUGCUUGUCGGUUGACCUGCCGAGACCAACUAUGACUCAUCUGUUUACUGCAGAACGGAGGUAACGUGGGAUGCAAAGGUUGACAGCCACCUCCCGGGAGACCGUCGGACCUGGAAAUCAGGGCCCUGGGUUUCAACCGGAAAUGUUUACACUGGCACAGACCCAAGAUGGAUGGAGGGCCACGUCACGGAGAGCUGAGUGAGCACAUGCACACAUUUUAAGGGACCGGGGUCUUCACAGCUGACCGGCUGGUCACUCUCACCGCUGCGCUGAGCAGCCUGGAGGCUAGCGGUCAUCACUUACAUGUGCUCUGCUACUUACACUUGGAUUUAUAACCACACUUUCCCACGACCGCAUUUUCUUUCUUGGCAGAAGAUUAAGGGCAGCAAUAAUAAACACGUAAUAAUAG